UACAGAGGGGGCAAGCGUUAUUCGGAAUUAUUGGGCGUAAAGGGCGCGUAGGCGGCCAUUCAAGUGACGGGUGAAAGCCCUCGGCUUAACCGAGGAACUGCCUGUCAGACUGGGUGGCUCGAGACCGGGAGAGGUGAGUGGAAUUCCUGGUGUAGCGGUGAAAUGCGCAGAUAUCAGGAGGAACACCGAUGGCGAAGGCAGCUCGCUGGGACGGUACUGACGCUGAGGCGCGAAAGCGUGGGGAGCAAACAGG
This 253-nucleotide ribosomal RNA is filed under the name uncultured bacterium. Its description in RNAcentral is "partial 16S ribosomal RNA". It matches the Rfam family "Bacterial small subunit ribosomal RNA", at positions 524 to 776 of the family's 1533-position model. The record is from RNAcentral.